RNAcentral lists this ribosomal RNA (440 nucleotides) under uncultured bacterium. RNAcentral's name for it is "partial 16S ribosomal RNA". It matches the Rfam family "Bacterial small subunit ribosomal RNA", at positions 338 to 795 of the family's 1533-position model. The record is from RNAcentral.
CCUACGGGAGGCAGCAGUGGGGAAUAUUGCACAAUGGGGGAAACCCUGAUGCAGCGACGCCGCGUGAGUGAAGAAGUAAUUCGUUAUGUAAAGCUCUAUCAGCAGGGAAGAAAAUGACGGUAACUGAGUAAGAAGCCCCGGCUAACUACGUGCCAGCAGCCGCGGUAAUACGUAGGGGGCAAGCGGUAUCCGGAUUUACUGGGGGUAAAGGGAGCGUAAACGGCAGUGCAAGUCUGGAGUGAAAGGCGGGGGGUCAACCCCCGGACUGCUCUGGAAACUGUACGGCUGGAGUGCAGGAGAGGUAAGUGGAAUUCCGAGUGUAGCGGUGAAAUGCGUAGAUAUUAGGAGGAACACCAGUGGCGAAGGCGGCUUACUGGACUGUAACUGACGUUGAGGCUCGAAAGCGUGGGGAGCAAACAGGAUUAGAUACCCUGGUAGUC